RNAcentral lists this ribosomal RNA (300 nucleotides) under uncultured Methanopyrus sp. Its description in RNAcentral is "partial 16S ribosomal RNA". The stretch from base 52 to 300 matches the Rfam family "Bacterial small subunit ribosomal RNA", at positions 547 to 795 of the family's 1533-position model. The record is from RNAcentral. Lineage: Archaea; Methanobacteriati; Methanobacteriota; Methanopyri; Methanopyrales; Methanopyraceae.
UGUAAUUGCGGGGGGGUGGCGGGGGUAGUGCGUGGGGUUGGAGCGUGAAGUGGAAGUAGGGGGGGUAAGGGGUGGGGGGGGGGGUGGGUCGUUCAGCCUUGGAAGCCCCGGGCUCAACCUGGGAUCGGCGGGUGAGACGGCCCGGCUCGAGUGGGCUAGAGGAUCGUGGAAUUGCGGGUGUAGCGGUGAAAUGCGUAGAGAUCCGGAGGAACACCGAUGGCGAAGGCAGCGAUCUGGGGCCACACUGACGCUGAGGCACGAAAGCGUGGGGAGCAAACAGGAUUAGAUACCCCGGUAGUC